AACGAACGCUGGCGGCGCGUCUUAAACAUGCAAGUCGAACGGUAAGGAAGGAGCUUGCUCCUUUCUGAGAGUGGCGGACUGGUGAGUAACACGUGGGUGACAUACCUUUUAGAUGGGGAUAGCUAUUAGAAAUAGUAGGUAAUACCGAAUGUGACCGUAUCUGUUAGAGGGAUACGAGGAAAGGAGCUAAGGCUUCGCUAAAAGAAUGGCCCGCGGCCCAUUAUGCUCGUUGGUGAGGUAACGGCCCACCAAGGCGAUGAUGGGUAUCCGGCCUGAGAGGGUGGACGGACACAUUGGGACUGAGAUACGGCCCAGACUUCUACGGGAGGCAGCAGUUAAGAAUAUUCCGCAAUGGACGAAAGUCUGACGGAGCGACGCCGCGUGGAUGAAGAAUGCCGAAAGGUUGUAAAAUCCUUUUAAGCCUGAGGAAUAAGCACAGUAGGGAAUGAUUGUGUGGUGACUGUAGGGCUUGAAUAAGCACCGGCAAAUUACGUGCCAGCAGCCGCGGUAACACGUAAGGUGCGAGCGUUGUUCGGAAUUAUUGGGCGUAAAGGGCAUGUAGGCGGAUGAGCAAGCUUGGUGUGAAAUGCUACAGCUUAACUGUGGGACAGCAUUGAGAACUGCACAUCUUGAAUUACUGAAGGGUAACUAGAACUCCACGUGUAGGGGUGAAAUCUGUAGAUAUGUGGAAGAAUACCAAUGGCGAAGGCAAGUUACCGGCAGAUAAUUGACGCUGAGGUGCGAAAGUGCGGGGAGCGAACAGG
Molecule: ribosomal RNA, 764 nt
Filed under: uncultured Treponema sp.
Lineage: Bacteria; Pseudomonadati; Spirochaetota; Spirochaetia; Treponematales; Treponemataceae
Description: bacterial SSU rRNA
Rfam family: Bacterial small subunit ribosomal RNA
Source: RNAcentral